GACUCGUCACACUAUCAUUAACUGAAUCCAUAGGUUAAUGAGGCGAACCGGGGGAACUGAAACAUCUAAGUACCCCGAGGAAAAGAAAUCAACCGAGAUUCCCCCAGUAGCGGCGAGCGAACGGGGAGGAGCCCAGAGCCUGAAUCAGCAUGUGUGUUAGUGGAAGCGUCUGGAAAGGCGCGCGAUACAGGGUGACAGCCCCGUACACAAAAGCGCAUGUGCUGUGAGCUCGAUGAGUAGGGCGGGACACGUGGUAUCCUGUCUGAAUAUGGGGGGACCAUCCUCCAAGGCUAAAUACUCCUGACUGACCGAUAGUGAACCAGUACCGUGAGGGAAAGGCGAAAAGAACCCCGGCGAGGGGAGUGAAAAAGAACCUGAAACCGUGUACGUACAAGCAGUGGGAGCACCCUUUGGGGUGUGACUGCGUACCUUUUGUAUAAUGGGUCAGCGACUUAUAUUCUGUAGCAAGGUUAACCGAAUAGGGGAGCCGGAGGGAAACCGAGUCUUAAUUGGGCGUUAAGUUGCAGGGUAUAGACCCGAAACCCGGUGAUCUAGCCAUGGGCAGGUUGAAGGUUGGGUAACACUAACUGGAGGACCGAACCGACUAAUGUUGAAAAAUUAGCGGAUGACCUGUGGCUGGGGGUGAAAGGCCAAU
Molecule: ribosomal RNA, 655 nt
Filed under: Salmonella enterica
Lineage: Bacteria; Pseudomonadati; Pseudomonadota; Gammaproteobacteria; Enterobacterales; Enterobacteriaceae
Description: partial 23S ribosomal RNA
Rfam family: Bacterial large subunit ribosomal RNA
Source: RNAcentral